RNAcentral lists this ribosomal RNA (399 nucleotides) under uncultured bacterium. RNAcentral describes it as "bacterial SSU rRNA". It matches the Rfam family "Bacterial small subunit ribosomal RNA", at positions 362 to 775 of the family's 1533-position model. The record is from RNAcentral.
UAUUGGACAAUGGGGGGAACCCUGAUCCAGCGACGCCGCGUGAGUGAAGAAGUAUUGCGGUAUGUAAAGCUCUAUCAGCAGGAAAGACAGAAAUGACGGUACCUGACUAAGAAGCCCCGGCUAACUACGUGCCAGCAGCCGCGGUAAUACGUAGGGGGCAAGCGUUAUCCGGAUUUACUGGGUGUAAAGGGAGCGUAGACGGCGAUGCAAGUCUGAAGUGAAAGGCGGGGGCCCAACCCCCGGACUGCUUUGGAAACUGUAUGGCUGGAGUGCAGGAGAGGUAAGUGGAAUUCCUAGUGUAGCGGUGAAAUGCGUAGAUAUUAGGAGGAACACCAGUGGCGAAGGCGGCUUACUGGACUGUAACUGACGCUGAGGAGCGAAAGCGUGGGGAGCAAACAG